ACUCAAAGGAAUUGACGGGGGCCCGCACAAGCGGUGGAGCAUGUGGUUUAAUUCGACGCAACGCGAAGAACCUUACCCAGACUUGACAUUGAUGAAAUCCCUUAGAAAUUUGGGAGUACCCUUCGGGGAUCUGAAAACAGGUGCUGCAUGGCUGUCGUCAGCUCGUGUCGUGAGAUGUUGGGUUAAGUCCCGCAACGAGCGCAACCCUCGUCGUUAGUUGCCAUCAGGUUAUGCUGGGCACUCUAGCGAGACUGCCGGUGUCAAACCGGAGGAAGGUGGGGAUGACGUCAAGUCCUCAUGGCCUUUAUGUCUGGGGCUACACACGUGCUACAAUGGCUACUACAAACUGAUGCGAACCAGUGAUGGGGAGCAAAUCGGAAAAAAGUAGUCUCAGUUCGGAUUGAAGUCUGCAACUCGACUUCAUGAAGCUGGAAUCGCUAGUAAUCGCGGAUCAGAACGCCGCGGUGAAUACGUUCCCGGGCCUUGUACACACCGCCCGU
Molecule: ribosomal RNA, 500 nt
Filed under: uncultured bacterium
Lineage: Bacteria
Description: partial 16S ribosomal RNA
Rfam family: Bacterial small subunit ribosomal RNA
Source: RNAcentral